Molecule: ribosomal RNA, 253 nt
Filed under: uncultured bacterium
Lineage: Bacteria
Description: partial 16S ribosomal RNA
Rfam family: Bacterial small subunit ribosomal RNA
Source: RNAcentral
UACAGAGGUCUCAAGCGUUGUCCGGAUUUAUUGGGCGUAAAGAGCGUGUAGGCGGCCAGGUAGGUCUGCUGUGAAAACUCGAGGCUCAACCUCGAGACGUCGGCGGAAACCAUCUGGCUAGAGUCCGGAAGAGGAGAGUGGAAUUCCUGGUGUAGCGGUGAAAUGCGCAGAUAUCAGGAAGAACACCAAUGGCGAAGGCAGCUCUCUGGGACGGUACUGACGCUGAGACGCGAAAGCGUGGGGAGCGAACAGG